CCUACGGGACGCAGCAGUGGGGAAUAUUGCACAAUGGGGGAAACCCUGAUGCAGCCAUGCCGCGUGUGUGAAGAAGGCCUUCGGGUUGUAAAGCACUUUCAGUAGGGUGGAAGGUAGUGUAGUUAACACCUGCACUAUUUGACGUUACCUACAGAAGAAGCACCGGCUAACUCCGUGCCAGCAGCCGCGGUAAUACGGAGGGUGUGAGCGUUAAUCGGAAUUACUGGGCGUAAAGCGCAUGCAGGCGGCCUGUUAAGUCAGAUGUGAAAGCCCGGGGCUUAACCUCGGAAUUGCAUUUGAAACUGGCAGGCUAGAGUCUUGUAGAGGGGGGUAGAAUUUCAGGUGUAGCGGUGAAAUGCGUAGAGAUCUGAAGGAAUACCAGUGGCGAAGGCGGCUCUCUGGUCUGUAACUGACGCUGAGGCUCGAAAGCGUGGGGAGCAAACAGGAUUAGAUACCCCUGUAGUC
This 465-nucleotide ribosomal RNA is filed under the name uncultured bacterium. RNAcentral's name for it is "bacterial SSU rRNA". It matches the Rfam family "Bacterial small subunit ribosomal RNA", at positions 338 to 795 of the family's 1533-position model. The record is from RNAcentral.